UACGUAGGGACCGAGCGUUGUCCGGAAUCAUUGGGCGUAAAGAGCUCGUAGGCGGCUCGGUAAGUCAGGUGUCAAAUCCUCAGGCUCAACCUGGGGCUCCACCUGAUACUGCUGUGGCUAGAGUCCGGUAGGGGAGCGUGGAAUUCCUGGUGUAGCGGUGAAAUGCGCAGAUAUCAGGAGGAACACCAGCGGCGAAGGCGGCGCUCUGGGCCGGAACUGACGCUGAGGAGCGAAAGCGUGGGUAGCAAACAGG
RNAcentral lists this ribosomal RNA (253 nucleotides) under uncultured bacterium. Its description in RNAcentral is "partial 16S ribosomal RNA". It matches the Rfam family "Bacterial small subunit ribosomal RNA", at positions 524 to 776 of the family's 1533-position model. The record is from RNAcentral.